AAUAGAUACCCUGGUAGUCCACGCCGUAAACGAUGAGUGCUAAGUGUUAGAGGGUUUCCGCCCUUUAGUGCUGAAGUUAACGCAUUAAGCACUCCGCCUGGGGAGUACGGCCGCAAGGCUGAAACUCAAAGGAAUUGACGGGGGCCCGCACAAGCGGUGGAGCAUGUGGUUUAAUUCGAAGCAACGCGAAGAACCUUACCAGGUCUUGACAUCCUCUGACAACCCUAGAGAUAGGGCUUCUCCUUCGGGAGCAGAGUGACAGGUGGUGCAUGGUUGUCGUCAGCUCGUGUCGUGAGAUGUUGGGUUAAGUCCCGCAACGAGCGCAACCCUUAAUCUUAGUUGCCAUCAUUCAGUUGGGCACUCUAAGGUGACUGCCGGUGACAAACCGGAGGAAGGUGGGGAUGACGUCAAAUCAUCAUGCCCCUUAUGACCUGGGCUACACACGUGCUACAAUGGACGGUACAAAGAGCUGCAAGACCGCGAGGUGGAGCUAAUCUCAUAAAACCGUUCUCAGUUCGGA
Molecule: ribosomal RNA, 520 nt
Filed under: uncultured bacterium
Lineage: Bacteria
Description: bacterial SSU rRNA
Rfam family: Bacterial small subunit ribosomal RNA
Source: RNAcentral